Molecule: ribosomal RNA, 1437 nt
Filed under: uncultured organism
Description: 16S ribosomal RNA
Rfam family: Bacterial small subunit ribosomal RNA
Source: RNAcentral
CUUAACACAUGCAAGUCGAGGGGCAUCAGGAAGAAAGCUUGCUUUCUUUGCUGGCGACCGGCGCACGGGUGAGUAACACGUAUCCAACCUGCCCUUUACUCGGGGAUAGCCUUUCGAAAGAAAGAUUAAUACCCGAUAGUAUAAUCAUUCCGCAUGGUUUGAUUAUUAAAGGAUUCCGGUAAAGGAUGGGGAUGCGUUCCAUUAGGUUGUUGGUGAGGUAACGGCCCACCAAGCCUUCGAUGGAUAGGGGUUCUGAGAGGAAGGUCCCCCACAUUGGAACUGAGACACGGUCCAAACUCCUACGGGAGGCAGCAGUGAGGAAUAUUGGUCAAUGGGCGCGAGCCUGAACCAGCCAAGUAGCGUGAAGGAUGACUGCCCUAUGGGUUGUAAACUUCUUUUAUAUUAGAAUAAAGUGCAGUAUGUAUACUGUUUUGUAUGUAUAAUAUGAAUAAGGAUCGGCUAACUCCGUGCCAGCAGCCGCGGUAAUACGGAGGAUCCGAGCGUUAUCCGGAUUUAUUGGGUUUAAAGGGAGCGUAGGUGGACUGGUAAGUCAGUUGUGAAAGUUUGCGGCUCAACCGUAAAAUUGCAGUUGAUACUGUCAGUCUUGAGUACAGUAGAGGUGGGCGGAAUUCGUGGUGUAGCGGUGAAAUGCUUAGAUAUCACGAAGAACUCCGAUUGUGAAGGCAGCUCACUGGACUGCAACUGACACUGAUGCUCGAAAGUGUGGGUAUCAAACAGGAUUAGAUACCCUGGUAGUCCACACAGUAAACGAUGAAUACUCGCUGUUUGCGAUAUACAGUAAGCGGCCAAGCGAAAGCAUUAAGUAUUCCACCUGGGGAGUACGCCGGCAACGGUGAAACUCAAAGGAAUUGACGGGGGCCCGCACAAGCGGAGGAACAUGUGGUUUAAUUCGAUGAUACGCGAGGAACCUUACCCGGGCUUAAAUUGCAGUGGAAUGAUGUGGAAACAUGUCAGUGAGCAAUCACCGCUGUGAAGGUGCUGCAUGGUUGUCGUCAGCUCGUGCCGUGAGGUGUCGGCUUAAGUGCCAUAACGAGCGCAACCCUUAUCUUCAGUUACUAACAGGUCAUGCUGAGGACUCUGGAGAGACUGCCGUCGUAAGAUGUGAGGAAGGUGGGGAUGACGUCAAAUCAGCACGGCCCUUACGUCCGGGGCUACACACGUGUUACAAUGGGGGGUACAGAAGGCAGCUACCUGGUGACAGGAUGCUAAUCCCAAAAGCCUCUCUCAGUUCGGAUCGAAGUCUGCAACCCGACUUCGUGAAGCUGGAUUCGCUAGUAAUCGCGCAUCAGCCACGGCGCGGUGAAUACGUUCCCGGGCCUUGUACACACCGCCCGUCAAGCCAUGGGAGCCGGGGGUACCUGAAGUACGUAACCGCAAGGAGCGUCCUAGGGUAAAACUGGUGACUGGGGCUAAGUC